RNAcentral lists this ribosomal RNA (494 nucleotides) under uncultured bacterium. RNAcentral describes it as "partial 16S ribosomal RNA". It matches the Rfam family "Bacterial small subunit ribosomal RNA", at positions 30 to 523 of the family's 1533-position model. The record is from RNAcentral.
UUGAACGCUGGCGGCAGGCUUAACACAUGCAAGCCGAGCGGUAGAGAUCUUUCGGGAUCUUGAGAGCGGCGUACGGGUGCGGAACACGUGUGCAACCUGCCUUUAUCUGGGAGAUAGCCUUUCGAAAGGAAGGUUAAUACCCCAUAAUAUAUGAUUCGGCAUCGGAUUCUAUUGAAAGCUCCGGCGGAUAGAGAUGGGCACGCGCAAGAUUAGAUAGUUGGUGAGGUAACGGCUCACCAAGUCAGUGAUCUUUAGGGGGCCUGAGAGGGUGAUCCCCCACACUGGUACUGAGACACGGACCAGACUCCUACGGGAGGCAGCAGUGAGGAAUAUUGGACAAUGGGUGAAAGCCUGAUCCAGCCAUCCCGCGUGAAGGACGACGGCCCUAUGGGUUGUAAACUUCUUUUGUAUAGGGAUAAACCUACCCUCGUGAGGGUAGCUGAAGGUACUAUACGAAUAAGCACCGGCUAACUCCGUGCCAGCAGCCGCGGUAA